This 625-nucleotide ribosomal RNA is filed under the name Oninia senglaubi. RNAcentral's name for it is "partial 12S ribosomal RNA". The stretch from base 1 to 492 matches the Rfam family "Bacterial small subunit ribosomal RNA", at positions 848 to 1533 of the family's 1533-position model. Lineage: Eukaryota; Metazoa; Chordata; Amphibia; Anura; Microhylidae. The record is from RNAcentral.
AAUAUUAACCCACACCCACCCCCGCCAAGGUAUUACGAGCCCAAGCUUAAAACCUAAAGGACUUGACGGUGUCCCAUCCCCCUAGAGGAGCCUGUUCUAUAAUCGAUUCUCCACGAUUUACCCCACCGCCUCUUGAAUACUCAGCCUGUAUACCUCCGUCGUAAGCUUACCAUGUAAACGCACUCAGUGAGCUCAAAGGUUAAAAAACCAAAACGUCAGGUCAAGGUGCAGCCCACGAAGCGGAAAGCAAUGGGCUACAAUUUCUAAACUAGAACAAACGAAAGGCUGCAUGAAAUACAGCCUCUGAAGGCGGAUUUAGCAGUAAAAAGAAAAUAGAGAGUUCUUUUUAAUUAGGCACUGGGACGCGUACACACCGCCCGUCACCCUCUUCAAAUAUUUUAUAUGCGUCAUUAACACUAUACCCCCCCCCCUAGAAGAGGUAAGUCGUAACAUGGUAAGCGUACUGGAAAGUGCGCUUGGAACAAAGUGUAGCUUAAUUAAAGCAUCUUGCUUACACCAAGAAUAUGUCUGCUCGAUCCAAACCACUUUGAGCUAGAAACUUAGCCCACUUCACCCGCAUGAAACAACUCUGCUAACAAAACUAAAUAAAACAUUUUAUUAAAUU